This 468-nucleotide ribosomal RNA is filed under the name uncultured bacterium. RNAcentral describes it as "partial 16S ribosomal RNA". It matches the Rfam family "Bacterial small subunit ribosomal RNA", at positions 28 to 507 of the family's 1533-position model. The record is from RNAcentral.
GACGAACGCUGGCGGCGUGCUUAACACAUGCAAGUCGAACGGAAAGGCCCUGCUUUUGUGGGGUGCUCGAGUGGCGAAAGGGUGAGUAACACGUGAGUAACCUGCCCUUGACUUUGGGAUAACUUCAGGAAACUGGGGCUAAUACCGGAUAGGAGCUCCUGCUGCAUGGUGGGGGUUGGAAAGUUUCGGCGGUUGGGGAUGGACUCGCGGCUUAUCAGCUUGUUGGUGGGGUAGUUGCUUACCAAGGCUUUGACGGGUAGCCGGCCUGAGAGGGUGACCGGCCACAUUGGGACUGAGAUACGGCCCAGACGCCUACGGGAGGCAGCAGUGGGGAAUAUUGCACAAUGGGCGGAAGCCUGAUGCAGCAACGCCGCGUGCGGGAUGACGGCCUUCGGGUUGUAAACCGCUUUCGCCUGUGACGAAGCGUGAGUGACGGUAAUGGGUAAAGAAGCACCGGCUAACUACGUG